GGCGUCGAGUGGCGGACGGGUGAGUAAUGCAUAGGAAUCUACCCUGUAGUGGGGGACAACCUGGGGAAACUCAGGCUAAUACCGCAUAAUCCCUAAGGGGGAAAGUGGGGGACCUUCGGGCCUCACGCUAUUGGAUGAGCCUAUGUCGGAUUAGCUAGUUGGUGGGGUAAUGGCCUACCAAGCCGACGAUCCAUAGCUGGUCUGAGAGGAUGACCAGCCAGAAUGGGACUGAGACACGGCCCAUACUCC
Molecule: ribosomal RNA, 249 nt
Filed under: uncultured bacterium
Lineage: Bacteria
Description: partial 16S ribosomal RNA
Rfam family: Bacterial small subunit ribosomal RNA
Source: RNAcentral